CGAGUACCACGCCGACGGGGGCAAGGUGGGAUGUGGGGACGGGGUGACGGGGAGCGCGGUGUCCCCAUAGGGUCCCACUCACCCCUCCAUCCACCCACUCAGGUCCCCAUCAAGUGGAUG
This is a microRNA precursor of Gallus gallus (chicken), 120 nucleotides long. NCBI's taxonomy places the organism in Eukaryota, Metazoa, Chordata, Aves, Galliformes, Phasianidae. The record is from Ensembl.